CUCGCCGCCACCGCCACGCCGUGGAAAAACUCCGCACCGGCCGCGUGGAGCCCCCGCCGCGCGGGAUAAAAAUCCCGUCCCUGACGUCGUCGACCCGAGAUCUCUCGGCCACUCGAUGCGAGAGGAGUGGCAGUAUAAGAGGCGAGGCGAGGCGAGCUGGGUUGGCGCGCCGGAGAAGACGAUCGAGCUGAGCUAGCAAGAAGUGGUGAGUUCGGGUUCGAUCGAUCGCCAUGAGCAGCGGGCGCGAGAGCAGGUGGGAGCUCCCGGCGACCCUGCGCGCCCUGGCGCGCGACGCCGGGCAGCAGCUGCGGCUGCCGCGCGCGGCGGCGGCCGCGGCGGCGCCCGGGAGGGAGGUGGUGGCGGCGCGGCGCGCGGAUGGCGUCGCCGGCGGCGGCAAGGCGGACAAGGUGAUGCACCUGCUGCUGUGGGGGCCCAAGUGAUAUGUAACGUGUGUAGCUUUCCCUUCUCCGGGCCGGCCGUCUUGCUCCGCCGCGCCGGCGGCCAUGGCAGCGGCGGCCGCCCACCUCUCUCCGGUCAGGUCACCUGUGUAUAUAUAGUACUCCGUACUAGCUAGCUAGCUGCUUGCUCAGUUUCUCGUUCGAUCUUGCUCCAGAAGCUUGCUGUGUUUUUGGCUAUGGCGUAUGGUGUUUUUGCUCCAGUGUCCACACUGCUUGUUGCUGCCACCGUUUCUGCACAUAGCAAGCAGGCGGAUUCUGCAAGAAUGAAAUGGUUUUCCUCGUGGAAAUUACGCGUUCUAAUGGAUGCUUUUUCUUUUUAUGUAUCAUCAAUCAUGUAUCAGUGCUACUACCUUGUAAGAAACUUCUGCCCAGAGUUUCUGGCGAGUAAUAUUGUAAUGAUCGUGUAAAGUUCCGUUUGAUUGGAA
This is a long non-coding RNA of Oryza brachyantha (malo sina), 883 nucleotides long. RefSeq lists it as uncharacterized. NCBI's taxonomy places the organism in Eukaryota, Viridiplantae, Streptophyta, Magnoliopsida, Poales, Poaceae. The transcript is spliced from 2 exons. The record is from RefSeq and is a predicted model, not a curated record.